UAAGGAAUAUUGGUCAAUGGGCGCAAGCCUGAACCAGCCAUGCCGCGUGCAGGAAGACGGCCCUAUGGGUUGUAAACUGCUUUUGUCAGGGAAUAAACCCCCGCUCGUGAGCGGGGCUGAAGGUACCUGAAGAAUAAGCAUCGGCUAACUCCGUGCCAGCAGCCGCGGUAAUACUGAGGAUGCAAGCGUUAUCCGGAUUCAUUGGGUUUAAAGGGUGCGCAGGCGGAUUGGUAAGUCAGGGGUGAAAUCCCACAGCUCAACUGUGGAACUGCCUUUGAUACUGUCAGUCUAGAGUGUGGUUGAAGUGGGCGGAAUGUGUCAUGUAGCGGUGAAAUGCUUAGAUAUGACGCAGAACACUGAUCGCGAAGGCAGCUCGCUAAGCUAUAACUGACGCUCAUGCACGAAAGCGUGGGGAUCAAACAG
This 423-nucleotide ribosomal RNA is filed under the name uncultured bacterium. RNAcentral's name for it is "bacterial SSU rRNA". It matches the Rfam family "Bacterial small subunit ribosomal RNA", at positions 355 to 775 of the family's 1533-position model. The record is from RNAcentral.